Long non-coding RNA from Zonotrichia albicollis (white-throated sparrow), 623 nucleotides. The record is from Ensembl. NCBI's taxonomy places the organism in Eukaryota, Metazoa, Chordata, Aves, Passeriformes, Passerellidae.
AAAACAAGAGUCAAGGGGGAGAAAAUACAUGCAUUUGGAUUAGUUGAGGCAAGAACUGACAACAGAGUGCCUUUGCAAAUACUUUUUAAUUGAGUUAUUUCAUGUCAGAAGCCUACCAAGCUGGUCAUUUUGAAGGAAGAACCAUUGCAGGAUCUGAAGAGGAUUUCUUCAAGAAUUAACAAGCUCAGACAGUGAACUUCCCUCUGUGGAUCUCAGCAGCCAUUGUGGGAGAAAAUCCCUUUUAACAACCAUGAGGAAUGCAGGGUGUCCUUCCUGCUCACAUCCUGCAGAUCCUGAGUCCCAGAGUGUUUCCCUGCUCCUGACAUCCCUUGUUUCUCAGCCCAUGGAACUAGUGAGCCCACAUCAAAGAGGCUACAGAACAAGAUAGAGAGCCUGUAAAACCUGGUGGAAUCACCUCAGAUAAAAAACCAAGCCACCUCUCCAAUGAUCAGAACUCAGGAGGUGAAGACAAAGAAAUGCAAGGAAAAGGAGAGAAAGCUGUCCAAGUGAAGGCCCUGUAUGCAUUAGUGAUUGCUUUCAUGUAGAUCCAUUGUGUUUAAGUUGGUUUUAAAUAUUAAUAAUUAAAGAAUAAAAAGUCCUUACAAUUUUAAAAUUCUUGUUUA